CUACCGAGACAAACGGAAUGGUACUAGG
Molecule: small RNA, 28 nt
Filed under: Bombyx mori (domestic silkworm)
Lineage: Eukaryota; Metazoa; Arthropoda; Insecta; Lepidoptera; Bombycidae
Description: ovarian small RNA-14613
Source: RNAcentral